UGGGGAAUAUUGGACAAUGGGCGAAAGCCUGAUCCAGCCAUGCCGCGUGUGUGAAGAAGGUCUUCGGAUUGUAAAGCACUUUAAGUUGGGAGGAAGGGCAGUAAGCGAAUACCUUGCUGUUUUGACGUUACCGACAGAAUAAGCACCGGCUAACUCUGUGCCAGCAGCCGCGGUAAUACAGAGGGUGCAAGCGUUAAUCGGAAUUACUGGGCGUAAAGCGCGCGUAGGUGGUUCGUUAAGUUGAAUGUGAAAGCCCCGGGCUCAACCUGGGAACUGCAUCCAAAACUGGCGAGCUAGAGUAGGGCAGAGGGUGGUGGAAUUUCCUGUGUAGCGGUGAAAUGCGUAGAUAUAGGAAGGAACACCAGUGGCGGAGGCGACCACCUGGGCUCAUACUGACACUGAGGUGCGAAAGCGUGGGGAGCAAACAGG
Molecule: ribosomal RNA, 429 nt
Filed under: Pseudomonadota bacterium
Lineage: Bacteria; Pseudomonadati; Pseudomonadota
Description: Proteobacteria bacterium partial 16S ribosomal RNA
Rfam family: Bacterial small subunit ribosomal RNA
Source: RNAcentral